This 254-nucleotide ribosomal RNA is filed under the name uncultured bacterium. Its description in RNAcentral is "partial 16S ribosomal RNA". It matches the Rfam family "Bacterial small subunit ribosomal RNA", at positions 524 to 776 of the family's 1533-position model. The record is from RNAcentral.
UACGUAGGCAGCAAGCGUUGUUCGGAGUUACUGGGCGUAAAGGGUGUGUAGGCGGUUCUUUAAGUUUGGUGUGAAAUCUCCCGGCUCAACUGGGAGGGUGCGCCGAAUACUGAGGGACUUCGAGUGCGGGAGAGGAAAGUGGAAUUCCUGGUGUAGCGGUGAAAUGCGUAGAUAUCAGGAGGAACACCGGUGGUGUAGACGGCUUUCUGGACCGUAACUGACGCUGAGACACGAAAGCGUGGGUAGCAAACAGG